This 453-nucleotide ribosomal RNA is filed under the name uncultured bacterium. Its description in RNAcentral is "bacterial SSU rRNA". It matches the Rfam family "Bacterial small subunit ribosomal RNA", at positions 8 to 507 of the family's 1533-position model. The record is from RNAcentral.
AGAGUUUGAUCAUGGCUCAGAACGAACGCUGGCGGCAUGCCUAACACAUGCAAGUCGAACGAGACCUUCGGGUCUAGUGGCGCACGGGUGCGUAGCGCGUGGGAAUCUGCCCUUGGGUUCGGAAUAACAGUUAGAAAUGACUGCUAAUACCGAAUGAUGUCUUCGGACCAAAGAUUUAUCGCCCAAGGAUGAGCCCGCGUCGGAUUAGCUAGUUGGUGAGGUAAAGGCUCACCAAGGCGACGAUCCGUAGCUGGUCUGAGAGGAUGAUCAGCCACACUGGGACUGAGACACGGCCCAGACUCCUACGGGAGGCAGCAGUGGGGAAUAUUGGACAAUGGGCGAAAGCCUGAUCCAGCAAUGCCGCGUGAGUGAUGAAGGCCUUAGGGUUGUAAAGCUCUUUUACCCGGGAUGAUAAUGACAGUACCGGGAGAAUAAGCCCCGGCUAACUCCGUG